UACGGGGUGGGCAAGCGUUGUUCGGAAUUACUGGGCGUACAGGGCUCGUAGGUGGCCACCUAAGUCAGACGUGAAAUCCCUCGGCUUAACCGGGGAACUGCGUCUGAUACUGGAUGGCUUGAGUUUGGGAGAGGGACGCGGAAUUCCAGGUGUAGCGGUGAAAUGCGUAGAUAUCUGGAGGAACACCGGUGGCGAAGGCGGCGUCCUGGACCAACAUUGACACUGAGGAGCGAAAGCCAGGGGAGCAAACGGG
This 253-nucleotide ribosomal RNA is filed under the name uncultured bacterium. Its description in RNAcentral is "partial 16S ribosomal RNA". It matches the Rfam family "Bacterial small subunit ribosomal RNA", at positions 524 to 776 of the family's 1533-position model. The record is from RNAcentral.